RNAcentral lists this transfer RNA (79 nucleotides) under Candidatus Moranbacteria bacterium CG_4_10_14_3_um_filter_45_9. Its description in RNAcentral is "tRNA-Thr". It matches the Rfam family "tRNA". From Rfam's summary of the family: Transfer RNA (tRNA) molecules are approximately 80 nucleotides in length. Their secondary structure includes four short double-helical elements and three loops (D, anti-codon, and T loops). Further hydrogen bonds mediate the characteristic L-shaped molecular structure. tRNAs have two regions of fundamental functional importance: the anti-codon, which is responsible for specific mRNA codon recognition, and the 3' end, to which the tRNAs corresponding amino acid is attached (by aminoacyl-tRNA synthetases). tRNAs cope with the degeneracy of the genetic code in two manners: having more than one tRNA (with a specific anti-codon) for a particular amino acid; and 'wobble' base-pairing, i.e. permitting non-standard base-pairing at the 3rd anti-codon position. Lineage: Bacteria; Candidatus Moraniibacteriota. The record is from RNAcentral.
GCCGAUGUAGCUCAUCAGUUGGCAGAGCGACGCACUCGUAACGCGUAGGUCAUCAGUUCGAUUCUGAUCAUCGGCUCCA